GGCGAUGGCGUUGAGGACGCUGAGGCCGCCGACGGUGAAGGUGACGGCGCAGGCACCGACGCCUCGGGAUCUGGCGUAGCCGUCAGCGGCGUAGCCAGCGUUAAGCUCGUUGCAGCAGCCGAUGAAGCUGAGGCCGGGCUCGGCGACGAGGUGAUCGAGGAGGGUGAGGUUGAAGUCACCGGGGACGCCGAAGACGUCGCUGACGCCGAUCUGGACGAGCCGGCGGGCGAGGUGACGGCCGAGGGUGGCCUCGGCGACGGAGUAACACGGAGCUGGGGAGAUCGGGUGAGAGGGGAUCGGCGGCGGCGAGCCAACGGCACCGUUGGGCAGUUUCGUUGCGUUGUCGAUGGAUCCGGUCAGAGUGUCCAUUUGGGGG
This 376-nucleotide unclassified non-coding RNA is filed under the name Hevea brasiliensis (rubber tree). The record is from RNAcentral. Lineage: Eukaryota; Viridiplantae; Streptophyta; Magnoliopsida; Malpighiales; Euphorbiaceae.